CAAUAGCGUAUAUUAAAGUUGUUGCGGUUAAAAAGCUCGUAGUUGGAUUUCUGCCGAGGACGACCGGUCCGCCCUCUGGGUGUGUAUCUGGUUUGGCCUGGGCAUCUUCUUGGAGAACGUAGCUGCACUUGACUGUGUGGUGCGGUGUCCAGGACUUUUACUUUGAGGAAAUUAGAGUGUUUCAAGCAGGCACACGCCUUGAAUACAUUAGCAUGGAAUAAUAAGAUAGGACCUCGGUUCUAUUUUGUUGGUUUCUAGAGCUGAGGUAAUGAUUAAUAGGGAUAGUUGGGGGCAUUCGUAUUUAACUGUCAGAGGUGAAAUUCUUGGAUUUGUUAAAGACAGACUACUGCGAAAGCAUUUGCCAAGGAUGUUUUCAUUGA
Molecule: ribosomal RNA, 380 nt
Filed under: uncultured eukaryote
Lineage: Eukaryota
Description: partial 18S ribosomal RNA
Rfam family: Eukaryotic small subunit ribosomal RNA
Source: RNAcentral